RNAcentral lists this ribosomal RNA (553 nucleotides) under uncultured Bacteroidota bacterium. Its description in RNAcentral is "bacterial SSU rRNA". It matches the Rfam family "Bacterial small subunit ribosomal RNA", at positions 62 to 606 of the family's 1533-position model. Lineage: Bacteria; Pseudomonadati; Bacteroidota. The record is from RNAcentral.
UCGAGGGGCAGCAUGUUGGUUGCUUGCAACCAAUGAUGGCGACCGGCGCACGGGUGAGUAACGCGUAUCCAACCUACCCUUGUCCAUCGGAUAACCCGUCGAAAGGCGGCCUAACACGAUAUGCGGUUCACAGCAGGCAUCUAACGUGAACGAAAUGUGAAGGAGAAAGAUGGGGGUGCGUCUGAUUAGCUUGUUGGCGGGGUAACGGCCCACCAAGGCUACGAUCAGUAGGGGUUCUGAGAGGAAGGUCCCCCACAUUGGAACUGAGACACGGUCCAAACUCCUACGGGAGGCAGCAGUGAGGAAUAUUGGUCAAUGGACGAGAGUCUGAACCAGUCAAGUAGCGUGCAGGAUGACGGCCCUAUGGGUUGUAAACUGCUUUUAUAGGGGGAUAAAGUGUGCCACGUGUGGCAUAUUGCAGGUACCCUAUGAAUAAGGACCGGCUAAUUCCGUGCCAGCAGCCGCGGUAGUACGGAAGGUCCAGGCGUUAUCCGGAUUUAUUGGGUUUAAAGGGAGCGUAGGCCGUUUGGUAAGCGUGUUGUGAAAUGUCGGG